GCAGGUAUUAAAUGACUAAUCCAGAUCCCCAGCACCACAUCAAGAAGGAAAACAGCACAUGCCAACGUCAACACAUCUUUGAAAAGUUGCCACCAACGCUUCGCAUAAGAGGACUACUGGAAGGGAAGCUGAAUUCAGGGUCCUAUUAGGGUGAUAUUUGCGAGGCACUGUCUAACCCGAGAGAGUCCCGAAGCGUCCUGCAACAGGAAGAUGCCCUGGACCCAAUGGAUGGUCAGGAGAUGCGAAGUAACUGCCAGGGUGGCCUGGGCACUCCCAACAGACCACAAAUGUUGAUUUCAGAAUCUUUGGCACUUUCCAAAAUGUGGCUGAGCAGUAAUUUGGAAGCCUAAAUCCUGACUUUAGAAAUUCAUAAGAACAACCAAUGUUUUAUAAACUCAACAGAAAGUAAAAUAAACAAACCCAGGGUUUU
Long non-coding RNA from Homo sapiens (human), 430 nucleotides. Ensembl annotates it as RDH10 antisense RNA 1. Its record names the gene RDH10-AS1. The record is from Ensembl. Lineage: Eukaryota; Metazoa; Chordata; Mammalia; Primates; Hominidae.